Molecule: long non-coding RNA, 791 nt
Organism: Bactrocera neohumeralis
Lineage: Eukaryota; Metazoa; Arthropoda; Insecta; Diptera; Tephritidae
Exons: 2
Source: RefSeq, a predicted model, not a curated record
UUAAUUUUUAUAUUCGUCUUCGGAAUCUGAGGAAGAAAACGUGCAGCAAGUCAUAAGGAACCGAAUGCGAGACAAAAGCAAUCCCUUGGCAUUGCCGGAGGCAGCGUAAGGAAUUAGAAUUGUGUACAAAUUAAUUUCAAUUGCCUACAUGUUUAUAUUUACAGCUUCAGGAAAUGGUUCAGUCUCUCUAAAAGUGCAUUUAACUACGUGUUGGCUGAACUUAAAUUUGAAGGGCAUUUGUCAACCGCAGUGGCCAGUGGUGGCUACCAGCACUUGGUGGGAAAUGACUUUUUGAUAGGAAUAUAUCAAAGCACUAUUUGCAAAAUAAUAAAAAAUGUAAUUAGCGAAAUGGAAACAAAGUUGUGCCCCCCAUUUAUUUAAUUCGUGCCCGACAAUCUUUCGGAAUGCACGAAAUCGUUUGUUGAAAAAUACAAAAAUUCCUGGCGGUAAGAUUAGCGCUUUUAUUUUGAGUAAAAUGUAGCGCUUUUAAAGCUGAAGCAUACUUAACAUAUUUAAAUAUGUAUAUGUUUAUGUAUGCAGUUAUUGGAUGUAUUGAUAGCACGCACUUUGGGCUGCAAAAACCAACAGUAAAUGAGCACAUGUUCUUCAACAGGAAAGGAUACCAUAGCCUCAACUCAAUGAUAAUAUGUGACCAUGAAUACCGCAUUUUGGCCAUUGACUCAAAGUAUGGUGGAGCCGCCCACGAUUCCUUUGCAUGGAAGGUUUGGACACAAAAUUCGAAACCAUAUAAUGUUGGCGCUAGAAAAUACAAUUUGAAUAAAACAAGUGUA